AUAACAUUCAGAAGUUUCCCUAAUUUGCAAGACAGAAGGUCAAAAUCAAAUGGACAAUGUUUUCUCCUGGAAAUGAACAAAAGUUAAUUGUUUCCAUCUUCUGUGUCCAGUGUAAUUUACCAGAUUAAAAAAUUGUCCUUGAUUUAAGCCCUGGACAAUGUGAAGUGCAGCCUGUAGGCUGAGCAGGAGAGCAUCUGUCUCUUGGGAGAGCUGGGCAGGAUGCAAAGUGCAAGUUGUACUCGGUGUACCUUCAACUGGGUGAGUUGUGCCAGCAGCAAACUCCCGGGACCUGGAACAGUGCAUGCAUUAACUGCUCCUGGAGCUGUGUGUAUAGUAACUUCAACUGUAGGAAGAAUCCAGAGGCAUGAAAUGAGACCAUUAACCUGCUGCCAAAGAACAACUGUCAUACAGCAUAUCAUCUGAGCUGACAUCCACGUCUCUUUCUUCUGUAAAAAACAUCUUGCCCUUAAGAAAAAAGUUUGAAAGUUGAGAACAAAGGACUGAACAAUGAGCUGAAUUUCAUCUUUAAACCUUUGAAAAGAGACAGGGCGACAGCCCAUCACUUUUCCUUCCUGCAAACCCUUGGUAUGGCAAUAACACCUCAUGACCUGGAAGAUUUUUUUCUCAUAGUGCUCAUGAAACCAGUGUGCCUUCCCAUUAAGAAUUGUCUUUCCCAUUAUUCACAGAAGUCAAACUUUAACUGUAAGGGAAAAUUACUAAAGAAUGUAUGUCAAGAGACAGAGGAGGAGUUAGUCUAGGUCACAAAGUGGAACAUGAAUGUACUUAUACAAGGGAAAGUUCAUCCAAAAUAGAUAAUGGAUUCACAAACUAUACAAGUCAUUUUCUGGAUUAUGUUUCUGUUUUCUCUUAAAAAGUUGUGCAAAAUCUGUAUAGAGACCAAUUAAUGUCCUUCUGCCUCUAAUGUGUCCUGUUUUGUUCUGAAAUAUUUAUGAAAUCUGCAGAAUUGGCUGUACAAAUUUGGUUCUUAACAUUAUAAGUCCUUUGGACAUGGCUAAUUUACAGACAUUUCAUUCACUAUCAUAGUUAGAUAUAAUUCCCUACCUUGAAGAUGUUACAAGCUGUGUCUCUUCAUGUCACCUAUUUCCUACAUGUGAUCUCAAGUACCAACCUGUACGACUGCUGGUGUCAGAGGGAAUAUUCUGUGUUCACAAGUCUCAUCAAAACUUUGUCUUCCUCCACAAUACUUUGGUAUGAAAAAUAAAUAUGUACUAGCCAGAAUAAAAGCUUCUUGCUGCAAGAAUUAUUAUUCUUUUUUUAAAAAAAAGAACACAGAAGAUGUAUUCUCUUGUUAUUCACCAUAAUGAUUAAAUUAGGUAAAUGUAUCAGCUUUUUCUCUAUGACAUUUGAAUGCUCACUUUUUCUGAUUUCUCUCUAUAAUGUCAAAUAUUAAGGCUCAUAUAAAUAAGAUUUCUCUUUGGUCUCUGUUGAAUGUAUUGGAACUAUUUUGAACGCAUAUCAGGUGAUAUGUGGGAAGGUUUUUCUUGGUUUUUAAUUUCUUUCUUUCUUUUUUUUCACCCCCACCCAAAUAAGCUAAUGAAUAGUUGCUUAAAAGUUCCAGUUGUGAAGGCUAAAGACUAUCUGUUUAUUUUUCUCAAUGAGAAGACUAGAAUCUUGUUUUCCCUUGUUCUAUUUUCUCUCUGAAGUUAUGGGACCAUGUUGCUUUCAUUUCUAAGAUUUCCAAUAUAUCACCACAACUCAAUAACAUGCAGAAGCAGCAAUUCUAGAAACUGUGUUAAUGAAGUGAAACAGGAUUUCCUAUAAUCUUUUGAUAUGUCACUGUGGCAUUUUCUGAUAUUGAUCUUUCCAGUGUAAUUAACAAAGGUGAAAAGAGUGUUACUGCAGAAUCAGCAAAAUGUCCAGAUUAUUUUAGUGAUCCAGAAACACGAGAUUUCCUUCCCCAUGGUUACGUUUAGAAAUGGCCAGGAAGAACAAGAACAGUCAAGAUGCAAACUAUAUCUUUCUGUGCAGUUUUGGGAACAUUAUUUUUCCAGUCCAUCCUGUAAACUAUGUCACGGGGCAGAUUUUUUAGCUAACAAAAGGGGUCUGAAGGCUUUAUCAAUUCAACAUCUUAGUCUUGGCAAAGCAAGUACAAAUAUAUUAAAUAAGCAACUGUAUUUUAGUACUUAUUGAGAGGCCUCUUAGCUAGAUUACUGUGUAGCUUCUCAAGUGAAACUCCCUUUAGAUCUAAUAUCCAUAGAAAGUAAUCCAUCAUAAACAAACACAAAGAGGCACAGGCCAUAGUAAUUACAAAAGAAUACAGUUUUGUUUUGUUUCAUUUUUUUGUUUUCCCACCAUUCUCACGGUGGCUUUCAAAGCUUUCUUUAUUGUCAUUUUGUUUUAUCAACAUUGAUCAGAGACUGUGGUGGCAAGCCAGAGCUGAGAGGAUUGAUCUCAGGUUCAAGUAAGAGGGAACUAGAAACGAGUAAAGAACAAUGUAUUUACAGGGAUUUUGACUAAAUCAAAUUCCCAAGUUUUUUGUCAGUUUACUUAACUGGUUUUGGUAUGUUAUUGUAAAUGGCUUUUCCUAUGCAUUUUGGAGGGGGAAACUGGUUUCAUUUGGUUUUAAUAAUUUGAGAAGGUGGUAUAUAAAAAAUUCGACUUAUAUCAACAAGUGAGAAGACAACUCUCAGAUUUUAUCAUUGCCUUUGGACAAGAGUAAAGAGACGAGUUCUUGCACAGCUUUCUGUUGGUCAAAUUGUUAUCCUUGAUGAACUCUUACUCACGGGAAAUUCAGACCCUUUACCAAAAUAUUCACCUGUCACUGUUUUCUGCUAUUCCACACUUUUCCCACCAGAUGGUAGGCAAUAAAAGCAGGAAACAGAAGCUUAUCUAUUACUGUAUACUUAAAAGGAAUCACAAAAAAUUAAAUAAAGUGCAACUGUGAAACAA
This is a long non-coding RNA of Parus major (Great Tit), 2910 nucleotides long. RefSeq lists it as uncharacterized. The record is from RefSeq and is a predicted model, not a curated record. The transcript has 2 exons. Lineage: Eukaryota; Metazoa; Chordata; Aves; Passeriformes; Paridae.